Molecule: long non-coding RNA, 801 nt
Organism: Hipposideros armiger (great roundleaf bat)
Lineage: Eukaryota; Metazoa; Chordata; Mammalia; Chiroptera; Hipposideridae
Exons: 3
Source: RefSeq, a predicted model, not a curated record
UUGCCUAAGGUCCAGAGCCUGUUAGAGGCGCUUCACAUCCAGGUCUGCCUGUCUCUUAUCUCCCUGCUACUCCGAGCUGUUAUUCUGACAUUGCAUUGAUGAUCUACGAUUCCCUUCAAAAAGCUGCUAUCUCGGGAUGACAAGUUCUUUUGACAAAAGGGGGAGGCAUUUCUCCUAAGUGGCUUUUUUCUUAAGAGCUUUUACAGUAAGAUAGGGACUCAUACGUGUGGAGACUGCAAAGGAUCAAAUGGCCCCAAGGAACCCUGAGAGCACACAGGAUUGUUUUGGUUGGAUUCCAGCAAUGAGCGGGAGCCCUUCUCACAGUGUGUGUCACACAGUUAGCUGAAAAAUGGUACUAUCCCUAUGGUGAUGAUGAGGAUGACGACGAUGACAACAAUGAUGAUGACAAACCUGGUUAUUGCUCUCCCAAGGAGUUCACGGUCUAGUGGAGGAAGCAUUCAAGUAAACAGAGGAUCAUAAAACAAUGAGGAGACUGGCUCAAGGCUCUGGAAAGAGGCCCUUCACCUUUGACCUUUCUUGAAUGGCCUUUCCUGGCCCUGGUCCCCUGGAAGACACGGCAUCCUGGCUCCUGGUCACCUGGGAACGUGGCUGAUAACUUCUCAGCCUGCCCAUGAAAGCAGGGGAUACCUGAGCCCAGGGGAACAGAAAAUGGAGGCAGAUCCCAAAUCUGGGUAGCUGGAAGCUCAUUUCAAGGACUGACUUUUCAUGAAGGAGAAAAAUGAGAAGAGAAAAACCAGGAAAAAAUUCUCUGCCACUGGCAGAAACACGAUAUAAUAAAUA